Molecule: long non-coding RNA, 1463 nt
Filed under: Equus caballus (horse)
Lineage: Eukaryota; Metazoa; Chordata; Mammalia; Perissodactyla; Equidae
Description: lncRNA (ENSECAG00000056358.1)
Source: RNAcentral
AAAAGUAGCCUGAGGGCUUGAUGUUGGGUGGGGCCAGUCCUUAGGGUGAGCUGCCUGCCCUGGCUGAACUGGAUUAAAUCUGUGCUCUAGUGGGCAUGGCAGAUCCCUGGGCUAACAGCCCAAGGGAAGAACCUCAGUGGCACCCACCCGGGUCUGUGUCAGCAUGCCUGGACCAGGUCAGAACAAUGGCCUCCACCAAUGUCUCAGUCUCCACAGAGGUCCCUCCUCUCACCAAGAUGCCCCCAGAGCCCACCAGGUUUGGAGGAGACAUCGGUACAGAAAUGCAAGAGUUGGAGUGUUGAAGUUCUAAGAGCCCAUGAGUUCUCCGAGGCAUGAAGGAAGGACUAACGAAACUGCUUCAGGAAUUAGUCUGGAAAAAUGCACACAGUUCAGGAAAUAAAAGAAGAAAGAAAAUAAGAAAGUUCUCCACAGCCAUUUACCCACGUGGUGUGUUCUCUGCACGGAUUUCACAAAUGCUCCUCUAAGGUGUGGACAGCACUCUAGAUGCAUUGAAUGAAGACUCUGGUACCAAUUGAAAUUUACAGAUGAAGACUCCAUAAAAGCAACAUGCAAUGGAAAAUAAAAUACUGAGAUGCCUGGAUUCCAUGCCUCUUUUAGUCACAGUUAUAUAUUUUCCUUGUGGAAUAAUUCUUGAAAGAAUUUGAGGAUCAAACUGAAAUGAAAAAGUACGUGACAAAAAGACACAACAGGCAAGGUCAAAAGACACAUGACAAACUGCAAGAAGUAGUUUGCAAUAUAUGUUAUAAAUGAAGGUCUAUGUUCCUAAUACACAAAUGUGGGUCUAUGUUUGCCACUCAGAGACUCAGAAAUCUAAUCAUCACAAUUUAAGUGAAACAAAUAAACCUUACUGCAUCAUUUAACAUCCCCCUUAGAUUUCAGUACAUAAAUAUUUUAAAGUAGGUAACUUCAGCAUCUCUACAAGAGUUUUUUUCCAACCCGAAGUAUUGGAAGAAUCUGAUACCUGUUCUACUCCUGCCUAAAGUAUUGGAAGAUUACAACAUAAGUCUGAAAUAAACCUCAUUUCCUGUGCAUCCCUUCAUGAUGGUUCAUUGGCCUGUCGAGCUGAUAAUGUCUUUCAAAGGUAAACUCUUAAGGUAUAGAGAUGGUUCCUUUAUAAUAAAUAUACUAACAGUAAAUAUAUGAACAUGAAAACUUCAUUAGGGGCCAGCCCCAUGGCCUAGUGGUUAAGUUUGGCAUGCUCUGCUUUGAUAGCCCAGGUUUGGUUUGCAGGGGAGACCUAUACCACUUGUUAGCGGCCAUGCUGUGGCAGCAACUCACAUACAAAAAGUGGAGGAAGAUUGGCACAGAUGUUAGUUCCUUAAGCAAAUUUUCCUUAAGCAAAAAGAGGAAGAUUAGGGCUGGCCUGGCAGCACAGCUGUUAAGUUUGCAUGUUCUGCUUCAGCCUCCUGAGGUUCACCAGUUUGGAUCAUGGGUGUGGACAU